AUCGGAACGUAUCCAAUAAUGGGGGAUAACUAAUCGAAAGGUUAGCUAAUACCGCAUACGCCCUACGGGGGAAAGCAGGGGAUCUUCGGACCUUGCGUUAAUGGAGCGGCUGAUAUCUGAUUAGCUAGUAGGUGAGGUAAAGGCCCACCUAGGCUUCGAUCAGUAGCUGGUCUGAGAGGACGACCAGCCACACUGGAACUGAGACACGGUCCAGACUCCUACGGGAGGCAGCAGUGGGGAAUUUUGGACAAUGGGCGCAAGCCUGAUCCAGCCAUUCCGCGUGAGUGAAGAAGGCCUUCGGGUUGUAAAGCUCUUUCGCAAGGGAAGAAACGAUACCGACGAAUAAUCGGUGUUAAUGACGGUACCUUGAUAAGAAGCACCGGCUAACUACGUGCCAGCAGCCGCGGUAAUACGUAGGGUGCGAGCGUUAAUCGGAAUUACUGGGCGUAAAGCGUGCGCAGGCGGUUUUGAAAGUCAGAUGUGAAAUCCCCGGGCUCAACCUGGGAACUGCGUUUGAAACUCCAAAGCUAGAGUAUGGGAGAGGGGGGUAGAAUUCCACGUGUAGCAGUGAAAUGCGUAGAGAUGUGGAGGAAUACCAAUGGCGAAGGCAGCCCCCUGGCCUAAUACUGACGCUCAUGCACGAAGCGUGGGGAGCAAACAGGAUUAGAUACCCUGGUAGUCCACGCCCUAAACGAUGUCUACUAGUUGUUGGGAGAGUAAAAUCUCUUAGUAACGCAGCUAACGCGUGAAGUAGACCGCCUGGGGAGUACGGUCGCAAGAUUAAAACUCAAAGGAAUUGA
RNAcentral lists this ribosomal RNA (800 nucleotides) under uncultured bacterium. Its description in RNAcentral is "bacterial SSU rRNA". It matches the Rfam family "Bacterial small subunit ribosomal RNA", at positions 117 to 913 of the family's 1533-position model. The record is from RNAcentral.